This 260-nucleotide long non-coding RNA is filed under the name Lepisosteus oculatus (spotted gar). Its description in RNAcentral is "lncRNA (ENSLOCG00000022588.1)". The record is from RNAcentral. Lineage: Eukaryota; Metazoa; Chordata; Actinopteri; Semionotiformes; Lepisosteidae.
GUACCUGUAUUUCCAGGUGCUGUACCAGUUCAGUCAUAUAUACCUUUUGUGAUCAGUCACCGUGGAGUGUGCUUAACAAGUAGAAAUCAAAUACAACUGAAGUUUUCCUUUUUGAGACUUAAACUGUUCACCAUCAUCAAGUUGUCCACUACAGCUGCCACUGAAGCACAGCACAGGCCAGAAGUCUGACAUCUCCCAAGGAAGAUGUUGAAAUUGCAGGUGGAAGAGCAAAGUAACCCUCAAGUACAGGGAAAAGGUGA